UUGACCUCGGAUCAGGUAGGGAUACCCGCUGAACUUAAGCGGAAAAGAAACCAACAGGGAUUGCCUCAGUAACGGCGAGUGAAGCGGCAAAAGCUCAAAUUUUAAAGCUGACAUCUUCGGUGUCCGCGUUGUAAUUUUGUGAGGCAUCUCCGGGUAGGGCGCCGGCCUAAGUUCCUUGGAACAGGACGUCACAGAGGGUGAGAAUCCCGUGCUUGGCUGGCUGUCCCCGUCCAUGUGAGGUGUCUUCGACGAGUCGAGUUGUUUGGGAAUGCAGCUCAAAAUGGGUGGUAAAUUUCAUCUAAAGCUAAAUAUUGGUGGGAGACCGAUAGCGCACAAGUAGAGUGAUCGAAAGAUGAAAAGCACUUUGAAAAUAGAGUUAAAAAGUACGUGAAAUUGUUGAAAGGGAAGCGCUUGAGACCAGACUUCGGUAAGGGGUGAUCAGCCGUCCUUCUGGGCGGUGCACUUGCCCCCCUCCGGGCCAGCAUCGGUUGAGGCGGCGGGAUAAAGGUCCCGGGAAUGUGGCUCCUUCACGGGAGUGUUAUAGCCCGGGUGAAUGCCGCCAGCUUCGACCGAGGACCGCACCCGC
Molecule: ribosomal RNA, 586 nt
Filed under: Morchella mediterraneensis
Lineage: Eukaryota; Fungi; Ascomycota; Pezizomycetes; Pezizales; Morchellaceae
Description: partial 28S ribosomal RNA
Rfam family: Eukaryotic large subunit ribosomal RNA
Source: RNAcentral